RNAcentral lists this ribosomal RNA (253 nucleotides) under uncultured bacterium. Its description in RNAcentral is "partial 16S ribosomal RNA". It matches the Rfam family "Bacterial small subunit ribosomal RNA", at positions 524 to 776 of the family's 1533-position model. The record is from RNAcentral.
UACAGAGGGUGCAAGCGUUAAUCGGAAUUACUGGGCGUAAAGCGUGCGCAGGCGGUUCUGAAAGUCAGCUGUGAAAGCCCCGGGCUUAACCUGGGAAUUGCGGUUGAAACUACAGGGCUAGAAUCUGGCAGAGGGGGGUGGAAUUCCACGUGUAGCAGUGAAAUGCGUAGAGAUGUGGAGGAACACCGAUGGCGAAGGCAGCCCCCUGGGCUGAGAUUGACGCUCAGGCACGAAAGCGUGGGGAGCAAACAGG